ACCUGUUUCCAGCACACAUGCCAGUGAUCCCAUGUGGUUUAAAAUAUUUUAGAGCCGAGAUACAGAACAUCAGAGACUCAAAGGAACGCUGCCAAUUUGCGAACACGGCCACAGACCACAAAACCAUUGAAAACUUCUAUUGACAACUCUGGCAAUGUUGCAUUUCAAGACACGGGUAUGGAUUAGCAGGAGAAGAUGAUAUCACAGCAUCAGCAGCAACAAGAACAUGAAAAAGAA
Long non-coding RNA from Sinocyclocheilus rhinocerous, 237 nucleotides. RefSeq lists it as uncharacterized. The transcript is spliced from 2 exons. The record is from RefSeq and is a predicted model, not a curated record. Lineage: Eukaryota; Metazoa; Chordata; Actinopteri; Cypriniformes; Cyprinidae.